UUUGCCAUUUAUUUCAGACAAAAGUUGUUUCGUAAAACUGUGACUUUUGACCUCGGCAUGCAGAUUUCGGCGAGAGCUUUGCCGACUGCGGGCGCCAAGCGAGUCACGAGGACCGAUUUCCAUGGCACGCGAAUCUCGUCCUCCGAACUGACUCGGGCAACGUCACCAACUUUUGCUCGGCGACGCUCAUUUCCAACAAGACCCUCAUCACUGCGGCGUACUGUAUUUUCAACGAAACAGAUCUGCAAGUCGUGCUUGGGACGUCAAAUGAGAACAAGGAAACGCAACAAACGUUUAAGGUUUCCAAGGUGGUUGUGCACCACGACACGGGCAGGGCUGACUUCAAGGACGCGAUUGGAUUGAUCGUUUUGCAGGAGGAGGUGCAAAUCGGCGACUCGGUGCGGCCGAUCUGUCUGUGGAACUCGGACUACAACCUCGGCAAGAUCGCCAA
Molecule: long non-coding RNA, 451 nt
Organism: Neocloeon triangulifer
Lineage: Eukaryota; Metazoa; Arthropoda; Insecta; Ephemeroptera; Baetidae
Exons: 3
Source: RefSeq, a predicted model, not a curated record